CGAGUGUGCAAGGCGAUCCGGGCGUGCCGGGGGGCGCGGGUGGGCUCCGGGGCGCGCGCCGGGGCGUGCGGCGGGAGCUGAGUGUGCAACGGGACGUGGACAGCGGGCGCCGGGACGUGGACGUGGGCAUCCGCUGGGACACGAGCGUGCAACGGGAGCUGAGUGUGCAACAGGAGAUGGACAUGGGAGCCCGGCGGGAUCUGAGCGUGCCGCGGAAGCUGAGCGUGCAACGGGAGCUGGAGGCGCAGAGGAGGCUGAGCGUGCAACAGGAGCUGAGCGUGCAACGGGAGGUGGAGAUCCAGAGGAAGCUGAGUGUGCAACAGGAGCUGAGCGUGCGGCGGCAGCUGGAGCUGGGCGUGCAAUGGGAGCCGAGUGUGCAACGGGAGCCGGGCGUGCAAUGGGAGCCGAGUGUGCAACGGGAGCUGGGCGUGCAAUGGGAGCCGAGUGUGCAACGGGAGAUGAGCGUGCAACGGGAGCCGGGCGUGCAAUGGGAGCCGGGUGUGCAACGGGAGGCGGAGCUGAGCGUGCAACGGGAGAUGAGCGUGCAACAGGAGCCGGGCGUGCAAUGGGAGCCGAGUGUGCCGCAGGACAUGGAGCUGAGCGUGCAACGGGAGCUGAGCGUGCAACAGGAGCCGGGCGUGCAAUGGCAGCCGAGUGUGCAACGGGAGGCGGAGCUGAGCGUGCAAGCGGCCCCGAGCGUGCGGUGGGACGUGGAGAUGGGCGUGCAAGCGGAGCUGAGCGUGCAAGGGCAGGACGUGAGCGUGCAGUGGGAGCCGGGCGUGCAAGGGGAGCUGCUGAGCGUGCAAGAGGCGGCGGGCGUGCAAGGGGAGGCGAAGGCGCCGCAGGAGCCGGGCGUGCAAGAGGCGCCGGGCGUGCAACGGGAGCCCCUGAGUGUGCAAGGGGAGGCGGGGGUGUGAGCGGGCGUGCAAAGGCGCGGGCGUGGGGCUGAGCGCUGCCCGCACCCCGGGGCACGCGCGUGUGCAAGGUGGCGUCGCUGCCCCAACCCCCCUUCCUUGUGCCCCCCUUGCACACUCGCAGGGUCAGCGCCUUGAACGCUCACGGCUUGGCCUUGCACGCCCACGCGUGUGUGCUCGGCCCUCUCCUUGCACACUCGUUACACGCUCGGUCUUCUCUUGGCACACCUGUCACACACUCAGCGCCCCUCCUUGCACACCCGUCACACACUCGGCCACACCCCCUUGCACACUCAUCACACACUCAGCCACACC
Molecule: long non-coding RNA, 1229 nt
Filed under: Parus major (Great Tit)
Lineage: Eukaryota; Metazoa; Chordata; Aves; Passeriformes; Paridae
Description: lncRNA (ENSPMJG00000004760.1)
Source: RNAcentral